UCCUGGUUGGCGAGUGGCGAACGGGUGAGUAAUAUAUCGGAACGUGCCCAGUAGUGGGGGAUAGCCCGGCGAAAGCCGGAUUAAUACCGCAUACGACCUACGGGUGAAAGCGGGGGAUCGCAAGACCUCGCGCUAUUGGAGCGGCCGAUAUCAGAUUAGCUAGUUGGUGGGGUAAAGGCCUACCAAGGCGACGAUCUGUAGCUGGUCUGAGAGGACGACCAGCCACACUGGGACUGAGACACGGCCCAGACUCCUACGGGAGGCAGCAGUGGGGAAUUUUGGACAAUGGGCGCAAGCCUGAUCCAGCCAUGCCGCGUGUGGGAAGAAGGCCUUCGGGUUGUAAACCACUUUUGUCAGGGAAGAAACGGCUCUCACGAAUAAUGAGGGCUAAUGACGGUACCUGAAGAAUAAGCACCGGCUAACUACGUGCCAGCAGCCGCGGUAAUACGUAGGGUGCAAGCGUUAAUCGGAAUUACUGGGCGUAAAGCGUGCGCAGGCGGCUAUGCAAGACAGAUGUGAAAUCCCCGGGCUCAACCU
This 537-nucleotide ribosomal RNA is filed under the name uncultured bacterium. Its description in RNAcentral is "bacterial SSU rRNA". It matches the Rfam family "Bacterial small subunit ribosomal RNA", at positions 82 to 615 of the family's 1533-position model. The record is from RNAcentral.